GGGCGCUUAGCUCAGUUGGUAGAGCGUCUGCCUUACAAGCAGAAUGUCGGCGGUUCGAUCCCGUCAGCGCCCC
This 73-nucleotide transfer RNA is filed under the name Acinetobacter baumannii. RNAcentral's name for it is "tRNA-Val". It matches the Rfam family "tRNA". Rfam says of the family: Transfer RNA (tRNA) molecules are approximately 80 nucleotides in length. RNAcentral also lists the same sequence under 1 other name. Lineage: Bacteria; Pseudomonadati; Pseudomonadota; Gammaproteobacteria; Moraxellales; Moraxellaceae. The record is from RNAcentral.